CUUUUGUUCUUAGGAAAUUGUGUAUCUGAUGCCAAAUUUGUAGUUGGAAUUAUUGUGUUGUAGGGAUGUUUAUGUUCAAGCCUAUUCCCUUUUCAUGCCUGGAAAAAUUAAAAAAAAAAAUCCAUUGAGUCUUCACUUGAUAGAUGUUGUGUAUUAUAAUAGUUAAGUUAACUAAUCAUAAUCCACACUUUGGGCGAAGUUAAAAUUCAUUUCUAAUUAGGCUAAUAAUCACCAAAGAAAAAAAAAGCUUCAACUUUUGAUUUUUCUUUUCAAAUUUGGCCAAUAUAUUUAAUUUUUGCAAUCAAUAUCUUAUAUUUAUUUUUUAUUAUCAAUUAUGGCUUUCAUCCAGAAUUCGAUUAGAUGUGGUCGAUUGAUGUAGCUUCGAAAGGAAAGAAAUCUACUUGUUGGACCUUGGGUUGCUGUAUUACGACUUACUUGAUGAGGGUCCAUCAAGAAUCCAUUAAUUGUAAUGGCUAAAUCUAUGAAAAAUACCAUCAACUAUCUGUUUAGAAGAGUAAUCGUUGAAGGCAGAGAGGAAAAUUUAGGAGAGUAAAUUGUUUUAUCAAAAUGGUGUGUAUGAAUCCCUUGCGUCAAGUUAAUUCAAGGUCAAGCUACGAGUCCAUAAUAAUACUAUUUUAUUCUAAAUUCUAAUCCUGUGCUAAUAUAUUUAUAUUUCAAAAUAGGAGUGCUGGAGGUAUAAAGGUCAAAUUAUAGUGAUUUUGCAACAAAUCAUAUAGUUGAAAGUAUUUUUUUAUAGGUUUAGCCAACUGUAAAAUUAUACAAAUUUUUGUAAGUUUGCGGUGGGAUGGAAAUGAGAUUGUCUCAACAAUACAAUCUUCCAACUUAGAGAUUCUAAAAAUAAGGAUGAAUACUAAAGAAUAGUCACUGGAUGUGAACUGGCUUACUGUGGGACCAAUUAACAACCAAAGAAGCAACAAACUGAUGGACUUUGGACGAAUGCCAUAAUUGAUAAGAAAAAAACAUAUGAGGUAAUAACUAAAAAAAUUAAAAAUAUUAACUAAAUUUGUCAAAAACAUGAAAGUUCAAGCUUUUUUGUUUUUUUAUUUAGCCUUUCUAAAAAUUCUAAUUGUUUACAACAUAUUCAUGACAGGAAAAAGAAAAGGUAAAUUAAGAAAAGGGAAAACGAAAGGAAAUAGAUAUAAGCCUUGAAUUUGAUAAGAAAAUUCAAAGGAAAUGAUGAUUCCUAAGCAAGACUAUAUAUGGUAACAAUUAAAUUCUUUUGAUAAAUAAAAAAUUUAUAUGGUAAAAUUACGAAUACUUUAUGAGCCAAAGAAAAAUAAUUCAAUAUAUCUUUUUAAAUAUCAUGUGUAAAAGAUUUUUUUUUUUUUUUUGGCUUUUUCAUGAUAACAAAUUAAUCAUCUAUCAAUUGUUUAAUUAAUUCAUAUUAAGUAUAUUCUUUCUUUACUGUAUUCAAAAAUUAAAAAGAAAUGCUAAAAAAAAUCAAAAUUCUCUAAAAUAUAAAUUUUUUUGAAGACAUAAUAUGAUUGGAUUACUAAACGCUUUCAAACCCUGAAAUAUUGACAAUACAAAUAGGAGAUGAACCAAAGGAUUCAACCUGAUCAGACAAAGAAUAAGUUGCCUUUGCUAAGCUUUGGGCUAGACCAUUCUUAUAUCAACGAGUAAAACCAAGAACAACACCAGAUAUCUCUGUCAAAAGAGAUUUACAAUCUACUAUAAGAGCACCAAAACCGGGAUCAUCUUGAUAAGAAAGGUUGUUAAUAGCUGCAGCCACCAGAUAUUCCAUGAGUGAGACUUGCUCCAACUCAACGCCUCACGAAUAGAUUUGGCUUCAGCAGCGCUUUUUGAGGACGCGCCUCUCACAGACGCUUCUGAAGGCUUGGGAUGAAGACACCAUCUGAGUCUCGAAGGACACAUCCUACUAAAAUAUACUCCUUACGUUCCAUAUAUAUAGACCUAGUUUGACUUUCACAUAGUUAAACUAUAUUUUUUGUUUAGCUUUUUCCAAAACUAUCCCUUUACAAUAUUAAAUGAUGUAUGUAUAAUUGAGAAUAGAGAUGUAUAUUAAAUAGGGGUACAUUAAGAAAUUAUAUAAUAAAUUAUCUUUCAAAAAAGGAAA
This 2098-nucleotide long non-coding RNA is filed under the name Jatropha curcas. RNAcentral describes it as "long non-coding RNA (JCUR_LNC000392)". The record is from RNAcentral. Lineage: Eukaryota; Viridiplantae; Streptophyta; Magnoliopsida; Malpighiales; Euphorbiaceae.